AUGAUGAUGGAGGUGUUUGCUGAAAUUGGGGCCAAGGAUCCGCAUUUCACAUACAAAAUUCAGGCUGACAAUGAGGGCGGGAUUAACAACCUGAUGUGGGCAAGUGAAAACAGCAAGCUGCAGUACACAUUUUUCAGGGAUGUGAUAACAUUUGACACCAUGUACUGGACUAAUUUGUACGAAAUGAUGUUCAGGCUAUUGUUGGUGUUAAUAGUCAUUUCCAGAGUACCAUCCUGGCAGAGGUGCUUGUUUGUGAUGAGACAACUGAGAGUUCUGAAUGUUUUCUCAGAAUUUCUUAGAGUGAUGGGCGGCGCUCCUCUGAUGACUAUACUUACUGGUAAGUUCUUGCUUUCCUGGUGUGUUUUGCAUACCCUAUUCAGGCUAUGGAGCUGGCUAUCAAAGAGCAUUAUGCCAGACACCACAUGCUGGCGGUGCAAGUGUCACAUGCUCAAGAACGCAAAGUAA
This 465-nucleotide ribosomal RNA is filed under the name Triticum aestivum (bread wheat). Its description in RNAcentral is "partial small subunit ribosomal RNA". Lineage: Eukaryota; Viridiplantae; Streptophyta; Magnoliopsida; Poales; Poaceae. The record is from RNAcentral.